Molecule: long non-coding RNA, 1836 nt
Filed under: Homo sapiens (human)
Lineage: Eukaryota; Metazoa; Chordata; Mammalia; Primates; Hominidae
Description: HSALNT0345816
Source: RNAcentral
UCUCUUUUCUUCUUUUUCUAAAAUGAAUCUGGGAGUUUCCUUUAGCCCCUGUUUUGUGGUCGCCUCCCAUACACGUUUUAUCUGUCCGUGGCAUUUUCUUUUAUUUAUUGAAAGCACCGUGUCUUAGAUCAAGUCUUGAGAAACAGAACCUGAGACAAACAUGAAUGUGGUUAAUUGAACGAGCGCUGUGCAGGAAAAGCUGUACUGGAGAGAGGCCUGGCCUGGUGUUCAGAACACAAAUGUGAAAAAUCAGACCGGGAAGAUCACGGGAGGCAGGAAGCAUCUGGUUUGCAGGAGUCUCACUCUGUCACCCAGGCUGGAGUGCAGUGGCGUGAUCUCAGCUGACUGCAAUCUCCACCCAAGUUCAAGAGAUUCUUCUGCCUCAGCCUCCCACGUAGCUGGGACUACAGGGCAUGUGGCAGAGAAGUGUGGGCAGACAAGACACAGAGAAGUGGAGAUGAGACUCUUCAGACCCUUGAAUGACAUGUUGAAGAGCUUGGAAUUUUCUUAUAGAACGUAGGUAAUCAAUAGAGAGGUUUCAUCCGAGGAAUGAUAAAAAUCCAUUUGGGAAACAGAGGCGGUGUGGAGGAUGGGUCAAGAGAGAAUCAGAAGGCAGAUGAUUUACAGCAAUCCAGGCCAGAUAUCAGGAGGGCCUACUCUAAGAUUGCUUUUAGCAUAGCUACUGGGGAAGAGUCGGGCAGGAGAGCCCAGAGGCCCCGCAUGUGAUGGAAACAGCUGCCCAAACUGCAUCUUCAGGUAAAUAUGGCAGACCAUAGUUCCCCCUUCAUAAAGGCCUCUUGGGCGUGUUUCCUGGAAGGAAGAGGUGGGAGAUGUCGCCAUGCUCAGCACAUACGUGAGGUGUUGCAUUAGUCUCCUGGGGCUGCCGUAACAAAGUACCACAAAGCAGAUGGAAACAACAUGCAUUUUUCCCCCCACAGUUCUGGAAGGUGGAAGGCCAGGAUCAGGUGUCAGGAGGGUUGGUUUUUUCUGGGGGUUCUGAGAGAAUCUGAGGGGAAUUCCAUGGCUUUCUCCCAGCUUCUGGUAGUUGCUGGCAAUCCCUGGUGUUCCUGGGCCUGUAGACACGUCACCCCCAUCUCCGCCUCUGUUUUCAUGUGGCAUCCUCCCCGGUGCGUGUCUGUGUGCCCCAACCCCCUUGUCUUAUGAGGCCCACUCUAAUCCAACAGGACCUCGUCUUUACAUAAUCAGAUCUGCUAAGAUCCUGUUUCCAAAUAAGGCCAUGUUCACAGAUACCUAGGGUUAGGACUUGGACAUAUCUUUUGGGGGGACCCGAUUCAACUCACAACAGGUGUUUGAGGGCAGCUCUAGUUGAGAGUGUCAGAGAACCUCUGGCUUAAAGGAGGAACAGGGAGUCUAUCUGCUUGCAAUGUCUGAAGUAGAGUGGAGUGGCUUUACUGUCCUUGGUAGAGAGCAUGUCCUGCUUCAUUCUCAGGAAGGAUCUCACUGUGAGGUGGCUACGAUUACUCUCUGCCCACCCUGGUUGCAUCUGGCUUACAGAAGACAAUCCCAGAAGAAACAGUCUCCCCCAAAGUCCGCAGCAACCCUUCCACUAGGAGUCUACUCCUGCUUACACAAGGCCCAUGCUCACGCCUCACCCCACUGCUGUGUCCAGGGCUUCGUGGUAUCCUGAUGGGCUAGCGUGGGUCACACUCCCACCCUUUGAGCCAUGGGCCCACCUAGUCCAAAUCAUAACAACUGAACAGGAUGAUCACAGGUUGUGGAGAUGAAUCUGCCAAAGUGAUGCUAGGCAGUGCGCUUUCUUUUUUAUUUUUAAAAUAUUUUUUGCAUGUAUGUAUGUAUGUGAGACAGUCUCGCUCU